Long non-coding RNA from Raphanus sativus (radish), 527 nucleotides. RefSeq lists it as uncharacterized. NCBI's taxonomy places the organism in Eukaryota, Viridiplantae, Streptophyta, Magnoliopsida, Brassicales, Brassicaceae. The transcript is spliced from 2 exons. The record is from RefSeq and is a predicted model, not a curated record.
CCGAACCGAUUGGUCCGAACCGAACCGAACCGAGCAUUAAGGAAAUCGGUUAGAGUUCGGUUAUCAAGAACAAACCGAUCGGAAGCUGUUUUAAAAAUGUUCGGUUAGUGUCUCGGUUCGGUUCGGUUCAUGAUAUCCGAUCGGUUAACCGAAAUUUAACCUACCUAUAUAUACAUUUCUCCAACCUUAUUUGUCGGCUUAACCUAAUCAGUUUCUCUUUUUCUCUCAAACAUGUGCCUUCGAUUCGGCGGUUCUCAGUUCUCACCCUAGCAAUCUCGUUCCCGUCGUCUGAUUCUCACAUCUUCCGACAACAAGAUGGGAAAUUGUGAAGUCUAUGAUGAACUAAGUAGAGAGGGCAAUUGAUUUCAUGUUUUGUUCGGUUCAUCAUUAUGAUUUCUUUUGGUCCCUGAUUCUGUAUUUUGGACAUUCUCAGUACUUAUUUUGAAACUAGGUGAAUUUCAAAAAAGUACGAACAAUUAUAUGUUUUUCUUGUAUUGAUUUAUGUUUGUCUUUCUGAUGUUUUGUAA